This 289-nucleotide ribosomal RNA is filed under the name uncultured Desulfocapsa sp. RNAcentral describes it as "partial 16S ribosomal RNA". It matches the Rfam family "Bacterial small subunit ribosomal RNA", at positions 1093 to 1382 of the family's 1533-position model. Lineage: Bacteria; Pseudomonadati; Thermodesulfobacteriota; Desulfobulbia; Desulfobulbales; Desulfocapsaceae. The record is from RNAcentral.
GAGCCGCAACCCCUAUCUUUAGUUGCCAUCAUUGAGUUGGGCACUCUAAAGAGACUGCCGGUGUCAAAACCCGGAGGAAGGUGGGGAUGACGUCAAGUCCUCAUGGCCUUUAUGACCAGGGCUACACACGUACUACAAUGGCCGGUACAAAGGCAGCGACACAGCGAUGUGAAGCGAAUCCCGAAAAGCCGGUCUCAGUCCGGAUUGGAGUCUGCAACUCGACUCCAUGAAGUUGGAAUCGCUAGUAAUCGCGGAUCAGCACGCCGCGGUGAAUACGUUCCCGGGCCUU